This 1310-nucleotide ribosomal RNA is filed under the name uncultured bacterium. RNAcentral's name for it is "bacterial SSU rRNA". It matches the Rfam family "Bacterial small subunit ribosomal RNA", at positions 28 to 1381 of the family's 1533-position model. The record is from RNAcentral.
AACGUACGCUGGCGGCACGCCUAACACAUGCAAGUCGAACGAAGUAGCAAUACUUAGUGGCAGACGGGUGAGUAACAUGUAGGUAUCUGCCCUUUGGCCUGGAAUAACACGAGGAAACUUGUGCUAAUACCGGAUAAGUCUUUACGGAGAAAGCUUUAUGCACCAUUGGAUGAGCCUGCACUUGAUUAGUUUGUUGGUGGGGUAAUGGCCUACCAAGACUGUGAUCAAUAGCUGAUUUGAGAGGAUGAUCAGCCACAUUGGGACUGAGGCACGGCCCAAACUCCUACGGGAGGCAGCAGUGGGGAAUCUUGCACAAUGGAGGAAACUCUGAUGCAGCGAUGCCGCGUGAGUGAAGAAGGCCCUUGGGUUGUAAAGCUCUUUCGUCGGGGAAGAAAAUGACUGUACCCGAAUAAGAAGGUCCGGCUAACUUCGUGCCAGCAGCCGCGGUAAUACGAAGGGACCUAGCGUAGUUCGGAAUUACUGGGCUUAAAGAGUUCGUAGGUGGUUGAAAAAGUUAGUGGUGAAAUCCCAGAGCUUAACUCUGGAACUGCCAUUAAAACUUUUCAGCUAGAGUAUGAUAGAGGAAAGCAGAAUUUCUAGUGUAGAGGUGAAAUUCGUAGAUAUUAGAAAGAAUACCAAUUGCGAAGGCAGCUUUCUGGAUCAUUACUGACACUGAGGAACGAAAGCAUGGGUAGCGAAGAGGAUUAGAUACCCUCGUAGUCCAUGCCGUAAACGAUGUGUGUUAGACGUUGGAAAUUUAUUUUCAGUGUCGCAGGGAAACCGAUAAACACACCGCCUGGGGAGUACGACCGCAAGGUUAAAACUCAAAUGAAUUGACGGGGACCCGCACAAGUAGUGGAGCAUGUGGUUUAAUUCGAAGAUACGCGCAGAACCUUACCAACACUUGACAUGUUCGUCGCGACUCUAAGAGAUUAGAGUUUUCGGUUCGGCCGGACGAAACACAGGUGCUGCAUGGCUGUCGUCAGCUCGUGUCGUGAGAUGUUGGGUUAAGUCCCGCAACGAGCGCAACCCUCACUUUUAGUUGCCAUCAUUAAGUUGGGCACUCUGAAAGAACUGCCAGUGAUAAGCUGGAGGAAGGUGGGGAUGACGUCAAGUCCUCAUGGCCCUUACGUGUUGGGCUACACACGUGCUACAAUGGUAUCUACAACAGGAAGCAAGACUGCGAAGUUAAGCAAAUCCCUAAAAGAUACCUCAGUUCGGAUUGCACUCUGCAACUCGAGUGCAUGAAGCUGGAAUUACUAGUAAUCGUGGAAUCAGGCGUGCCAACGGUGAAAUGCGUUCCCGGGUCU